GACUCUAAGCGGUUCAUCACUCGGCUUUCGGGUCGAUGAAGAACGCAGCCAGCUGCGGGACUUGGUGUGAAUUGCAGGACACACUGAUCACAUACAGUGGUAGCAAAUGCACGAGUGGUG
Molecule: ribosomal RNA, 120 nt
Filed under: Ixodes scapularis (black-legged tick)
Lineage: Eukaryota; Metazoa; Arthropoda; Arachnida; Ixodida; Ixodidae
Description: 5.8S ribosomal RNA
Rfam family: 5.8S ribosomal RNA
About the family: 5.8S ribosomal RNA (5.8S rRNA) is a component of the large subunit of the eukaryotic ribosome. It is transcribed by RNA polymerase I as part of the 45S precursor that also contains 18S and 28S rRNA. Functionally, it is thought that 5.8S rRNA may be involved in ribosome translocation.
Source: RNAcentral